RNAcentral lists this microRNA precursor (58 nucleotides) under Callithrix jacchus (white-tufted-ear marmoset). Its description in RNAcentral is "mir-4766 microRNA precursor family". It matches the Rfam family "mir-4766 microRNA precursor family". Lineage: Eukaryota; Metazoa; Chordata; Mammalia; Primates; Cebidae. The record is from Rfam by way of RNAcentral.
UCUGAAAGAGCAGUUGGUCUUUAUUUUUUUUACUAAAUAGCAGUUGCUCUUUUGGAAG